This 244-nucleotide long non-coding RNA is filed under the name Nicotiana benthamiana. RNAcentral describes it as "long non-coding RNA (NBEN_LNC023622)". The record is from RNAcentral. Lineage: Eukaryota; Viridiplantae; Streptophyta; Magnoliopsida; Solanales; Solanaceae.
GGAGCUUCACGAAUUUGAGAAAAAAGGUGGCGGCUAGGGUUUCCUAGAUCUAAAUUUGUGGGAUUUAAUAGGGCUUUGAAGGAUUUGGUUUGAAGAGAUAGAAAGAGGAGGUUGGGGUGAGUGUAUAAUAAUAAUUUGGGGUUGGUCACUAGUGCUCCGCCGCCGCGUGGCGAAUUCCGACGAGAGGCGCCGCUGUGGACGCCUUGCGGCAGUAGAGAGGAGAGAGUGAGGAGAAGAGUUUAGG